This 381-nucleotide ribosomal RNA is filed under the name Bacillus sp. Cu1. RNAcentral's name for it is "bacterial SSU rRNA". It matches the Rfam family "Bacterial small subunit ribosomal RNA", at positions 1012 to 1397 of the family's 1533-position model. The record is from RNAcentral. Lineage: Bacteria; Bacillati; Bacillota; Bacilli; Caryophanales; Bacillaceae.
CUUCUCCUUCGGGAGCAAGUGACAGGUGGUGCUGGUUGUCGUCAGCUCGUGUCGUGAGAUGUUGGGUUAAGUCCCGCAACGAGGCAACCCUUGAUCUUAGUUGCCAUCAUUUAGUUGGGCACUCUAAGGUGACUGCCGGUGACAAACCGGAGGAAGGUGGGGAUGACGUCAAAUCAUCAUGCCCCUUAUGACCUGGGCUACACACGUGCUACAAUGGACGGUACAAAGAGCUGCAAGACCGCGAGGUGGAGCUAAUCUCAUAAAACCGUUCUCAGUUCGGAUUGUAGGCUGCAACUCGCCUACAUGAAGCUGGAAUCGCUAGUAAUCGCGGAUCAGCAUGCCGCGGUGAAUACGUUCCCGGGCCUUGUACACACCGCCCGU